AUUGAACGCUGGCGGCAGGCCUAACACAUGCAAGUCGAACGGUAACAGGAAGCAGCUUGCUGCUUCGCUGACGAGUGGCGGACGGGUGAGUAAUGUCUGGGAAACUGCCUGAUGGAGGGGGAUAACUACUGGAAACGGUAGCUAAUACCGCAUAACGUCGCAAGACCAAAGAGGGGGACCUUAGGGCCUCUUGCCAUCGGAUGUGCCCAGAUGGGAUUAGCUAGUAGGUGGGGUAACGGCUCACCUAGGCGACGAUCCCUAGCUGGUCUGAGAGGAUGACCAGCCACACUGGAACUGAGACACGGUCCUGACUCCUACGGGAGGCAGCAGUGGGGAAUAUUGCACAAUGGGCGCAAGCCUGAUGCAGCCAUGCCGCGUGUAUGAUGAAGGCCUUCGGGUUGUAAAGUACUUUCAGCGGGGAGGAAGGGAGUAAAGUUAAUACCUUUGCUCAUUGACGUUACCCGCAGAAGAAGCACCGGCUAACUCCGUG
This 490-nucleotide ribosomal RNA is filed under the name uncultured bacterium. RNAcentral describes it as "partial 16S ribosomal RNA". It matches the Rfam family "Bacterial small subunit ribosomal RNA", at positions 30 to 507 of the family's 1533-position model. The record is from RNAcentral.